Molecule: RNA transcript, 930 nt
Organism: Tachyglossus aculeatus (Australian echidna)
Lineage: Eukaryota; Metazoa; Chordata; Mammalia; Monotremata; Tachyglossidae
Gene: PUDP
Gene name: pseudouridine 5'-phosphatase
Exons: 5
Source: RefSeq, a predicted model, not a curated record
UGCCGUCCGCGUCCCCCGGUGGCGCGAUGUCCGUUGGCGCCCCCCCUGCGACCCCCGUGGUCCCGGCCCACCUGCUGUUUGACAUGGACGGACUCCUGCUCGAUACCGAGCGACUCUACACAGAGGUGUUCCAGGAAAUCUGUGAUCGCUUCGGAAAGAAAUAUACCUGGGAAGUUAAAUCCCUCGUCAUGGGUAAAAAAGCACUGGACGCCGCAGAGAUUAUAAUCGAUGCCUUAGAGCUCCCGAUGACCAAAGAAGAACUGCUAAAGGAAAGUAAACUGAAGCAAGAGAAAAUAUUUCCUACUGCUGCCCUGAUGCCAGGCGUGGAGAAAUUGAUCCGCCAUCUGCACAGGCAUCAGAUCCCCAUGGCCGUGGCCACCAGCUCAGCCCGGGAGACCUUCGAAAUGAAGACGAGCAGGCACAAGGAGUUCUUUAGCUUGUUCCACCACAUCGUGUUGGGAGACGAUCCAGAAGUGAAGAAUGGCAAACCUCAUCCGGAUGUGUUCCAGGUGUGUGCGAGGAGAUUCAACCCCCCUCCGCUUCCAGAAAAGAUGAUGACUUCCUUAACUCCGCACCCGUUCUGUAAGUGACGUGAUUAAAGCCACAUCCGGAAUUUUCCCCCACCUGCCAUAGCAGUGAAUUUAUGUUUUAGGAAAAGAAAUAAAUGUGUUCUGCUCUGAUGAGAAAUAGCCCAUGCAUAAUCCCAUACGGUUUAUCUUCUCUUUGAAAUGAAGACGGCCAUGCCAGCUCGUGAUCGCUGUGGAUGUCUGGUUUUUGAAGAUGCUCCGUAUGGUGUGGAGGCGGCGCUGGCGGCUGGAAUGCAGGUGGUUAUGAUUCCGGAUGAAAAUCUAAAUCAAGACCUCACAAGAAAGGCGACGGUGGUGCUGAAAUCGAUGCUAGACUUCAAGCCGGAAUUGUUUGGGCUGCCAG